RNAcentral lists this ribosomal RNA (204 nucleotides) under Triticum aestivum (bread wheat). Its description in RNAcentral is "partial small subunit ribosomal RNA". Lineage: Eukaryota; Viridiplantae; Streptophyta; Magnoliopsida; Poales; Poaceae. The record is from RNAcentral.
AUGACUUGCUGUGUUAUCCUACAUAAUAUGCUUCUUGAAGAUGAGAGAGGAAUGGACUUAGAAUUAUUUUAUGAUAAUGUGGGUAGCCGUGUCAAACCAGCUAGAGACCCAAACCGCAUUAGAGCUUUUCUUCAGACAUAUAAGGAGAUUGAAAAUGCGGACACACACUUUCAACUUCAGGAAGAUCUCAUUGAGCACCAUUGA